AUUUAUAUAGGUUAAAAAAAACAUUACAUUUUCAGUGGAAAAACAAAAAAAAUUUUUUUUUAUAAAUA
This 68-nucleotide transfer RNA is filed under the name Paralipsa gularis. RNAcentral describes it as "tRNA-Glu". Lineage: Eukaryota; Metazoa; Arthropoda; Insecta; Lepidoptera; Pyralidae. The record is from RNAcentral.